GUGCCUUUCAAGGAAUUUGUCCAUUCCAUCUAAAUGUUGAAUUUAUUGGUAUAAAGUUAUUGACAGUAUUCCCUUGAUAUCCUUUUAAUGGCUACAAAAGCCAUAGUCACUUGUCCUCUUUUGUUCUUAAUAUUGUUAAUUUAUAUCUUCUCUUUUGUUCAUUGCUUUAGUUAGGGGUUUGUAAUUUUUAUUGAUCAUUUAAAGGAGCAACUUUUGGUUUUACUAAUUUUCUCUAUUUGCUUAUUUUCUAUCGCAUUGAUUUCUGCAGUUAUCUUUAUUUCUUUCCUUCUACUUUGAGUUUGCUUUUCUUCUAGCUUUUUUAAGGUAGAAGUUUAUAUUAGUAAUUUUAGAACUUUUCUCUCUCCAAGCACUGUUUUAGCUGCAUUUCACAAGUUUUGAUGUGUUUUCAUGAACGCGUAGUUCAAAAUAGUGUCAGAUUUCCCUUGUAAUUUAAUUUUGAUCUAUGACUUUUCUAGAAAUGUGUUAAUUUUCAAACAUUUGGGGGAGUUUUCAGUUAUCUUUUGGCUAUCGAUUUUUUAAAUUUAUUGUGGUUAGAGAAUUUGCUCUGUAUUUUCAAUCCUAAAUGUUUUAUGGCCCAAAAUUAUGGUUUAUCUUGGUAAAUGAUCCUUGUAUAUUUGAAAAUAAUGUACAUUCUGCUAUUUUGGGGAAUAUUACUCUAUAAAUGAUAGGUCAAAUCGGUUGACAGUUUUUUUCAAGUCUUCUGUAUACUUGCUGAUUUUUUUUUUUUUUGGUCUUUGUCCUAUCAACAAGUGAGAGAUGAUUGUUGAAAUCUCCAAAUAUAAUUAUAGUUUUUUGUUUCUCUUUUUAGUUCUGUCAGGUUUGCUUCAUGUAUUUUGAAGCUGUAUAAUUAUAUGCAAAUAUGCUAAGGAUUAUUAUGUAUUUUUAAUGACAUAAUUCUUUCAUCAUUAUGAAAUCUCCAUCUUUAUCGCUGAUAAUAUUCCUUGUCCUAAAGUUCAAAGAGCAUUGAGGUGUGUUUUGGCAGGCAGUUGAGUUACUAUUGGGUCGACUUGAUCCUUUGGAAUCUUGUUUGUUUUUAAUGUUUGUUAGGGUGGGUGUAAAGUUGUCUUUAUUUAAGGACGGUGGUUGUCAACUUUCAGUCUCAUGACCCCCUGAAACUCUAAAAACUUAUUGAGGACUCCGAAGAAUUCUUGCUUAUGUGGAUUGUAUUAAUGCUUACCAUAUCAGAAAUUAAAACUGAGAAAUAAGUAAAACAAUAUUUACUUAUUAGUUCCUUUUCAAAUGACAAUAAUAAACCCAUUUCAUGUUCAGCUCUCUCUUAACUAUGUUCUUUC
This 1313-nucleotide long non-coding RNA is filed under the name Homo sapiens (human). RNAcentral describes it as "long non-coding RNA NONHSAT230366". Lineage: Eukaryota; Metazoa; Chordata; Mammalia; Primates; Hominidae. The record is from RNAcentral.